GACGAACCGUGCGAACGUUGUUCGGAAUCACUGGGCUUAAAGGGCGCGUAGGCGGGCCACCAAGUCCGGGGUGAAAUCCUUCGGCUUAACCGGAGAACUGCCUUGGAUACUGGUGGCCUCGAGGGAGUAGGGGCCUGUGGAACUGGUGGUGGAGCGGUGAAAUGCGUUGAUAUCACUAGGAACGCCGGCGGCGAAAGCGACAGGCUGGACCUC
This 213-nucleotide ribosomal RNA is filed under the name uncultured bacterium. RNAcentral's name for it is "partial 16S ribosomal RNA". It matches the Rfam family "Bacterial small subunit ribosomal RNA", at positions 524 to 737 of the family's 1533-position model. The record is from RNAcentral.